This 557-nucleotide small RNA is filed under the name Pongo abelii (Sumatran orangutan). RNAcentral's name for it is "processed transcript". The record is from RNAcentral. Lineage: Eukaryota; Metazoa; Chordata; Mammalia; Primates; Hominidae.
UUUUAGACGAGAUGGUCAAGAAGGACCUCGGGCAGGAGGUGACUUAGAUCAAGGUUGAAUGACAAGGAGAGGCCAUGUGAAGAACUGAGGGCACAGAGUUCCCAGGCAAAAGGAAGACCCAAAUGUGGGCAUGAAUUUGCUGAGUUCUAAGAAAAAGUUAAUGAAAUUUGAACUUCAUAAGGUGAAUGAGUUCUAGGAAGGAUUUAAAAGGGGCCUUGCCAUGUUGGGCCAUAGUGAGGAGUACGGUCUUUCUUGGAAGGAAGCCACUGGGCUUUGAGUUGGGGUGAGAUGCACUCUGAUAGGUGUUGUGUAAACAGUGGAUCUUUGAGGGGCAAGAGUAAAGCAGAGAGGCCCCUUAAGAGGACAUAGAGGUGAAGUUUGAGAGAGAAAAAAAUGAAUGGGAGGAUCCAGCAUUCUGGCUUGAGCGAGUGAAGGAAGAUGAUGCCGUUUCAGAAAUAAGGGACACUGGAAGGCUGCAGAUCUUACAGACUCUUUCAGCACCUACGAAAAAUUUAGAGCAGCAGGUGAAUCACAGCCAGCAGGGACAUACAAAUGCC